Molecule: ribosomal RNA, 220 nt
Filed under: uncultured bacterium
Lineage: Bacteria
Description: partial 16S ribosomal RNA
Rfam family: Bacterial small subunit ribosomal RNA
Source: RNAcentral
UAAUGUCUGGGAGACUGCCUGAUGGAGGGGGGUAACUACUGGAAACGGUAGCUAAUACCGCAUAAUGUCGCAAGACCAAAGUGGGGGACCUUCGGGCCUCAUGCCAUCGGAUGUGCCCAGAUGGGAUUAGCUAGUAGGUGGGGUAACGGCUCACCUAGGCGACGAUCCCUAGCUGGUCUGAGAGGAUGGCCAGCCACACUGGAACUGAGACACGGUCCAG